This 278-nucleotide small nuclear RNA is filed under the name Cricetulus griseus (Chinese hamster). RNAcentral's name for it is "7SK RNA". It matches the Rfam family "7SK RNA", at positions 1 to 280 of the family's 331-position model. Rfam says of the family: 7SK was discovered as an abundant small nuclear RNA in the mid-70s but a possible function has only recently been suggested. Two independent studies have found that 7SK RNA binds the CDK9/cyclin T complex (known as elongation factor P-TEFb). The record is from Rfam by way of RNAcentral. Lineage: Eukaryota; Metazoa; Chordata; Mammalia; Rodentia; Cricetidae.
GCACAGGGGCUACCUGACUGACACCUCUGUCGCUCCAUCCAUCACCAGGGCUGACUCAGUUGGUCUGGCUGAGUAGGCUGGUGUCUCCUCCCUCCCUCACUGCUCCAUGCACAACCCUUCCAAAGCUGUUUGAGAGGACAACCUUAUCCAAUAGAUGAAAACCUGUCUUUGGUCAAGGGUGGUAUACAAGGAGCUGUGCUACCCUGCUAGAACCUCCGAACAAGCUCUCAAGAUAUUAUGCCCUAGUGGGAAUGGGAAGGAACUACAAGGCAGGUAAU